This is a non-coding RNA of Monodelphis domestica (gray short-tailed opossum), 2479 nucleotides long. Lineage: Eukaryota; Metazoa; Chordata; Mammalia; Didelphimorphia; Didelphidae. The record is from RefSeq and is a predicted model, not a curated record.
AUAAAUGGACAAGUUGAUACAUCGAUAGACCGAUAGACAUAUACAGGCAAACACUUAGAGAGACACACAGAUAGGAUGAGAUCGAUGAUAGAUACAUACAUACAUACAUACAUAUAUACAUAGAUUGAUAGACACAGACAGAUAUAUACAUAGUUAGAUAUCACAGAUGGACAGAAAAGUAGACUGAAGUAUCGAAAGAUUAAUAAACAGAGAGAAUGACAGAUAGUGAAACAGAGGGUCAGCACAGAGAGAGGCAGAGAGAGUCAAGCAGAUCGAUUCAUAGACAUGAAAAGUCAAAUAUCAAGAAAGAUAGACUUGGGUAGACAGAUUCAAAGAGAGAGAGAUAGACGGAAAGAUCACUAAGUUGAUAUGAAGAGAAGGAAAGAGAAAUAGACUUCCAGACACACACAAACUAAUGGAUAAAAAGAUAGGACAGAGGAACAGACAGACAGACACGUGAGCAGACAUACUGACAGACAGAUUAAUAUCUCUGUCAUUCUUUCUGACUGCCUUCCUUUCUUUGUAUCUACAAGUCUAUCUCACUGGAUGUGCAACUGUCUAUCUAUCCAGAUUUUUCUAUCUAUCUAUCUAUCUAUCUAUCUAUCUAUCUAUCUAUCUAUCUGUCUGUCUGUCUGUCUGUCUGUCAAUCUUUAUCUUUGUGUAUCUAUCGCUGUAGUCUAGGUAUCUAUCUGCCUGCCUGUUUCUGCAUGGAUCAAUCUAUAUGUAGAUCCUUUGUGUAUUUUAAAGUGUUGUGACAUCCUGGAGAACUACAACUCCCAGUGUGCCCCACGAGUCCCACUCCUCUGAGUCCUAGAUUGGGGCUGGUCUGGCAAUGGACCAAUCCCACGUUGAGGGAGGGUCAAUGUGCAUGGUCCCUCCUUAGCAUGGGAUUGGUCCAAUUCAAGACCAAUCCCAUGAAAGGAAAAUGGGCAUCAUCCCUUUCCCAGCAUAGCAUUGGUCCAAAUCAAGACCAAUCCCUCUCCGGAAAUAAGUUGGAAAGACCCCUAGAGCACACUGGGAGAUGUAGUCCACUAGACCACAACCCUUGAAAACCCACAAGAUCUCUCUCUAUGAAUCUAUGUAGACAUUGAGAUGGACAGCAUAACAGACAGAAGGACUGAUAGAUUAUUUGUUCUGUUAUUCUGUCUAUUUGCCUAUUUGUUGGUAUAUCUCUCAGCCUCUCUGUGUUUCUUUUUUGGGUUUUCAAGUGUUGUGACAGCCUGGGGAACUACAACCCCCAUUGUGCCCCUGGAGUCCCUCCCCUUUGAGUCGUGGCUUGGGAUUGGUCCAGAAUUGGACCAAUCCCGUGGUGGGGGAUGAACAAUGCCCAUGGCCUCUCCUUAGUCCAGGAUUGGUCAAUCUCAAUGCCAAUCACGCACAUUAAUAUAGGGAGCAUCCUUACUCACCCAGGGAAUGAUUGGUCCAAUUCAAGACCAUUCACUCCAAGGAAAUAUGGGGGAGACACCCCUGGAGCACACUGGGGGAUGCAGUUCCUCAGACCACAACCCAAGAAAAGCCACACUAUCUGUAGCUCAUUAUGCAUGUAGACUGAGAGGUGGAGAAGGUGACAGACGGACAGGAGGACUGACAGACAGAGUGCUUCCUUUAUCUGUUAUUCUGUUUUACUGCCUUCUUUUUAAUGUAUGUGUCAAUCUGUCGAUCGGUCUGCCCAUCAGUCCUCUCUGGGUAUCUAUCUCUAUAUACGUUUCCACCCAAACAUAUCGGAAUAAGUGGUUGCUGGCAAGCAAAGCAUAUGAUGGUGUCCCUGUGGUUUUCAGAUGGCUCAGCAGAUGUAUUUGGUUCAAGAUUGGAGGGGGAGUGGCAGACGUACACUUUGGCCAGUGAGGUGAGUGGCUGUUGCAGACUUCAUGAUGGGUCCAAACACUUCUCAGACUCUUCCAUGAGGUGCUGGAUUCUUGAAUAGGGAAGCAAGGAAUCAAUAGCUCAGAGGCUAAGCUCUGCGCCUUACUUACAGGGAUCUUAACCUGUUGUCCUGACUUUUCUCAAAAAGGAGCAUUUACUAAACAAGAAUGGCAUUUCCUCGGGCAGGCUAUGAAACAAAGUGAGGCAAAAGGACACAGAAUGUUACUGCCUUUGGGAUCCCAUGCAAUCUAGUGAAGAUAUUGCACAAACUAUGGAGAGUUGAGCUGUUCCUCAGCUGCAGACCCCACCUUUCAUUGCUUGUACUCACUCUUCUUGCCCCUUUGAAUGAGAUGGCCAAAGAGAAACAACCCUUCCUUAAUGCUGCAGAUGCCAAGAACCAGCCCCAUGUCCUGGGGCAAACCUCCUCCCCAAACCCCUUGUUUCUGGGUCCUGUACUCACUGCUGUCAAAUGAUAGCUAAACCGCAGCAUGGAGGCAUGAUGUCUGGCUGUCCUCCCAAGGAGCAGCUUUUGCAUCCAUGCUCUUCCACCUCGGCUGCCUCUUGACCACAUUCAACAUGACUUUCCAAAUCAAUAAAAUGUCUCUUUUAUUUUGAA